AUGGACUGCGUGACCUUGGGCAAGUCCCUGGACAUCUUGGCAUCUUCCUGCCCUAGGCUCCCGCCUCGGGGACCUCAACCCCGGCCCCCCACGGCGGGGGGCAUUCCGUGGGCCGGGAGGGCGGCCCAGCGGCAGGCGCGGAGCCUGCCCCCCCCCCCGCCCCCCGCCGGCCCCGCAGGUGCCCGGUCCCCACCCCCGGCCGCGCAGGUGGGGACGGGGCGGCGGGGGGCGGGCGCGGCGGCAGGGAGCCGAGUGCCCGGUGGCCCGCAGGCCGCGCCGCAGCCACGCCGAGUCCGCGGCGGCCGCAGGGAGGGCGCGCGGGGGGCCGCCCGCGCUCGCCGCCGACCCGCCCGGCCCCCACCCCCCGGCCCCGGCCCCCGCGGCGCCCCCCGGCCCGGCCCCGGCCCCGGCCCCGGCCCGCGGGGGGCUGGACUCCCGCCGGGCGGGCCCCCUGGCCGCCGCCCCUCCCGGCGCCCGCUCCCGCUCCCGCUCCCGCUCCCCGCGCGCCCCCCUCCCGGCCGCCAGCCAACUGCGUGCCCCCGGGGCCGGCAAGAAGCCACAUGCCCCCGCAAGGAAUGCCGGGCCUGGCGGGCGGGGGGCGGCGCUGGGCAGGGCCGGGCGGGCAGGGCAGGGAGCUCCCCGCCGGGAAGGUUGGUGAGACGGAGGGCGGCCCGCGCCCUGCCCGCGCCCCGGCCCCCGCGCCCCGCGCCCCGCGCCCUGCCCGGCCCCCGCGCCCCGCGCCCCGCCGCGCGGCCUCACACUUUCCCCGCCGGACACGCGGGCGGGACGGGGCGGGGCGGGGGCCGGGGCCGGGGCCGGGGCCGGGGUGCGGGCGGCGCGGGGCGCGGGGCGCGGGGCCCGGGGCGGGGCGACUCGGGCCGCCCCCGCCCCCUCGGCGCGCCCCCGGCCCCGCGGGCUCGGCGGAGGGGGCAGGCCGUCGUGUUUCCCCGCACCCCUCCCAGCCGCCGCCGGCUUUGGGGCCCCGGUGGGGAGCAGGGGGCUGAUUAG
Molecule: long non-coding RNA, 1008 nt
Filed under: Canis lupus familiaris (dog)
Lineage: Eukaryota; Metazoa; Chordata; Mammalia; Carnivora; Canidae
Description: lncRNA (ENSCAFG00030024412.1)
Source: RNAcentral